UUGUUUGCUGUUGGAGCAUCAUCAAGAUUCACAAAUCAUCAAGUCAAUGCACAUAUAUUCAUGUGUAAAUGCAUCCAUACAUAAUAAGAUCAUUUUGAUGUAUAUAUGAGAAUCUUGAUGAUGCUGCCGCUGCAAUCAG
Non-coding RNA from Arabis alpina (gray rockcress), 139 nucleotides. The record is from Rfam. NCBI's taxonomy places the organism in Eukaryota, Viridiplantae, Streptophyta, Magnoliopsida, Brassicales, Brassicaceae.